RNAcentral lists this ribosomal RNA (702 nucleotides) under uncultured bacterium. RNAcentral's name for it is "bacterial SSU rRNA". It matches the Rfam family "Bacterial small subunit ribosomal RNA", at positions 111 to 794 of the family's 1533-position model. The record is from RNAcentral.
UAACGCGUGGAUAAUCUGCCCUCUUGUUCGGGAUAACUGCUGGAAACGGCAGCUAAUACCGGAUAAGCUCCACCAAUUGUAUGGUGGAGGAAAGGAGGCCUCUUCAUGAAAGCUUCCGCGAGGGGAUGAGUCCGCGUCCCAUUAGCUAGUUGGUGAGGUAACGGCCCACCAAGGCAACGAUGGGUAGCCGGUCUAAGAGGAUGACCGGCCACACUGGAACUGAAACACGGUCCAGACUCCUACGGGAGGCAGCAGUGGGGAAUAUUGCGCAAUGGACGAAAGUCUGACGCAGCGACGCCGCGUGAGGGAUGAAGGUUUUCGGAUCGUAAACCUCUGUCAGGAGGGAAGAAAGCGCAUGGCGCCAAUCAGCCAUGCGUUGACGGUACCUCCAAAGGAAGCGCCGGCUAACUCCGUGCCAGCAGCCGCGGUAAUACGGAGGGCGCGAGCGUUAAUCGGAAUUACUGGGCGUAAAGCGCGCGUAGGCUGUUGUGUAAGUUGGGGGUGAAAUCCCACGGCUCAACCGUGGAACAGCCCUUGAUACUGCGCGACUUGAAUCCGGGAGAGGGUGGCGGAAUUCCAGGUGUAGGAGUGAAAUCCGUAGAUAUCUGGAGGAACAUCAGUGGCGAAGGCGGCCACCUGGACCGGUAUUGACGCUGAGGCGCGAAAGCGUGGGGAGCAAACAGGAUUAGAUACCCUGGUAGU